UUUUGUGUGCCACACAACAGCAGAUAUUUAGCAAUUUCGUUUGUCAAAUUUGCGACACCUUUUGUAUCUGGUGCUGAAUUGUUGCUAACUAUCUGCAAGUGUAAAAUUUGUGAAAUUAAAUUAUUUUAACGUGAUUUAGGUAUGUACUAUGGACAGAGCUCAAAUAAUAAAUGGGGCUUUGGAGUCUAAGGAAAUUAGGUCGGAUACAUACGAAUUAGUGCGUAUGCGUGUCUGUCUUCGUGAUCAAGCCUGACCCCUUAAUCUAUCGGAAAGUUUGUUCAGAACACAUUACAGAAUUUCGAAACAUCAAUAUUUACAAUUGUGCUCUGAAUUAAAGCCGUUAAUAACCUAGAUCAUCAAGACGAACAAGAAUAGAAAGUAAAAUGCAAGGUGUUAACAGCAUUGCAAAAUUUCAUACCAGAAACCUGUGGGAAUGAGCUUUUUGCAUUUUGAGUUAAACUGUAGCAAAUCCAAUGCCAUUAGGGAAGUGGCUAUGGCAUUAAACAAUCUUCCAGUUUUAUUGAAACAUUUAAAGUUUCUGCAAACAGUACAAUGGGUCACAAGUUAUUAUAAAUGGGUUUUACAAUAAAUUUGGCUAUCCUGGGGUUUUGGGGUGUAUAUAUGGCACUCAUUUGCACUUAUCAGAUCUUCUGUAUAUGAAGAAAGGUUUUAGAACGCAAGCAUUAUCAUUUCAAGAAUGUGCAAAUACUAAGUAUUUUGCUGAAGCCUAUCAUUCACAAUAACAAACAUUUGAUAGUACUUAUCUAAAGAAUUAAAUUUUUCAGAUCUGUGAUAGUGAUCUUAACAUUUUAAGUAUUGAUGCAACAUUUCAUGAUACAUUUGUCUGGCUUAUCACAACUGAAUAUGCCUAUGCAGGACCUGCACCAUAAUAGUGAAAAAGUUUUGUUUUUUAGGCAAGUAAAACAUCAUGAGCUCUGUCUCAGUAACCUGACUAUAAAGUAAUACUCAAUCUAAAAGUAUAUUUAAAACUGGGAAGGCCGUUAAUAUAUAGUACUAUAGUAAUGUUUAUUGUCAUACCAGGAACACUGUUGACCAUUGUGAGUAUUGAAGGCCAGUUGGAGAUGCUUGUUGGUACAUACAGUACUGCAUUAUGAUCAUCAUAUGAUGGCCAAGACCAUAAUUGUUAGCUUGUAUUGCAUAACAUGGCAAACACACAUGGGUUUCCAGUGCCCCAACUCUCUGACGAAGAUGCUGAAAUUGAUGUUUCUUAUCAAAUUCAUAACAUUGUAUUUUUUGGGAGAGAAGAGUAAACACAGCACUUAGCACCAUGUCAACAUUCAAGGGUGGUUCAAUUGGAUUGUGGAGAACAGACAUUAAAUUUAGUCCAACCUCUGUAUUCUAGUAAUUUUAUGUAGAUAUUUUUAAAACUGCUGUUCUUAAUUAUGUGAACUGAGAGGGCAAGAAUAGCCUAAUUAUUUCUGCCUAUAAUUUUUUAUUUGUGUUUAGUGGAAAUAUACAUAUUUCCUUAACAUUUUUGUGUUUAUAGUAAAGGAUGGAUUCAUAACAAUUUGAAAGCAAAAUUGUGAGGUUGUUUUAUUAAGACGAUGUUUUAAAUCUGUCAUGCUCAAUUUGUUCUGUAUCAUUUUAUCUUUAUGUUAACCCCGUUUGUAUGUUGUGUUGUUAUAUAUAUUAUUGUAUAUACUGCUGUUUUAAAUAAUAGAAUAGAAUGAAUAACAAAUCGACUAGUAAUUCAUAAUUCUUCUAGAUUUUGUUGGAUACUUACAUGAAUAUUACUUACAAAAUGAAAAACAUAAUUCAUAAUUUAGACAAAAUGUGGAUCAACCACCACUCAUUUUUGUUCAUUGUGAUAAUAAUAAUAAUAAUAAUAUAAAUAUAAAUAUUUAACUGGUCCCGUGAUAAGUUCGUAAAGAACUUGUGUUACAGGUACAAGAUAACGGAAAUAAAUGUAGGAUUUUUAUUAUACACAUACAUAUAUUUAAUAUACAUCCAUAACCCUGGAAAAGACAUUUAUAUUUAUCAUACAAAUAUCUUCCCUUGGCGGGAUUCGAACCCGCGACCCCCUUGUGUAGCGACCAUGUCACUUACCACUACACCAGACGGCCGUUAGAUAAGUUUGAUAAUUAUUAUUUUUGUGUAAUUUUGUUUUAUUUGAAUAAUAAUUCUUAAAUUAGGAAAUCGUAGUUUGUUUGUAAUACAUGUCCAACUUCUUGCCGCAUGAAAUUGAAGCCACAAUUGAAAUAUAAUAUCGACUGCCGAUAACUUCAAAGAAACAUAACUGAACUUGAGGCCGAGGUAAGUAGGAUGAUAGCAAGGUGAUAGCUCUAUAACCCUAGACUAGAAGCAGAACAUGCCAAAUACUGUGAGUACAAAAUAUACAAUGAAGCUAAAUACUGGUAUUCUACUGGUGGUAGGACCACUUGUGAGUCCGCACGAGUAGGUACAACCACUCCGCCUAUUUCUACCGUGAAGCUGUAAUGCGUUUCGUUUUGAAGGGUAGAGCAGCCGUUGUAACUAUACUGAGACCUUAGAACUUAUAUCUCAAGGUGGGUGGCGCAUUUACGUUGUAGAUGGCUAUGGGCUCCAGUAACCACUUAACACCAGGUGGGCUGUAAGCUCGUCCACCCAUCUUAGCAAUAAAAAAAUAAAUGUCAUUUUGAAAUGCUAAGUUGAGAGUAGUUUUAUUAGCGUAAAAUAUACUCAUUAGUGUCAUAAAAUUUACUGUAGUACCAGCCUAAAGUAAAACGUAUAUAUUUGGAUUUGCUUGACUAUUGUAACAAGCGCUAUUCCGUUUUUAUGGUAAUAUGAACUAUUACGGGCUCAGCUAAAAUUAAAACAAAAUUGAACUUAUUAUUUUAAACAUGGUUUUUGCCGAUAUUGGUCAAUUCCUUGAAUUUUUCUAUAUAUCUCAGCUGGAAGAUGCGCGGCCUCUGCCUGCGUACGAGCAGCCUCUGCUAAAAUGAAAGCUGCUUGAGCCAGUGGUUCGCCUUAGUUUCCAUUUUCUCCUCUUUCUACAACUACAGCUCACGAUGUGUCUACUCUUGUUUGUUGUCCGCUAUAGUCUAGAUAAUAUAAUGAUUGAUUAACAUUCUUACUGCAGUGAGUGAGUGCAAAGAGUACCUGGUUAUUGAAUACAAAUAACUUACUAAAUAUCGGCCUGAUAUUUGCAAUGAAGCUUCUCUUAAGAUGGCUUCGUCGACGAAAAACUGGGCUAAUUAUAAAAAUAAAUAUUUAUUUAUUGUCUUAAAAUAUUAGAUUCAUUUGUUUAAAAAUAAUAUAGAACAUUAAGUUAAUGUCUGACAUGCAGUUUCCUAUUCACGUCAUAUUGCCCAUGACCUUGGGUGAACAUUAUUUUGAAUAGUCUGCAUAGCUUUUAUUUCCCUUCAAGCUGUGAAAGACUGCACUAUAUUUCUGGUAUUCAAAUCAAAGCCUACUCUUGCCAAGUCAAACAAAUCCACUAUCUAUUACUUGAUAAAAAAUAGCAGCAUCUCGCCUAGAAUAUCAUCGACUGGUUGUUCUAGCGUUGUCGGCCUCAUGUCGGCGUAAGAUGGAUCUGUUGUACACGUUAUUAUUGAUAAAACCAUACAACUAACUCAUUUAUUCUAGAAUUUACUAUUUAAUUUGAAAUCGUCGUGGCCUAAGCGGUGUAUUAGAGACUGCCGACUUUCUAAUAAAGAUGCGACUGAACCAGUGUUAGAAUCCCGCAGGCAGAUAUCAAUAAAUCCAAUGAAACACGUAUUUGACAUAUAUACAUGGAAGACUUCCAUGAUUAAGGAUUCAUUCAUCUUUUAUUUAAAAUCAAAUUAGCAAAUAUUCUUUAAGAAAUCGUUGGUGGUAGGGCGUUUGAUUAACCCGCAAGACCACCAUUCCGCCCAUUUCUACCGCGAAGCAGUAAUGCGUUGCAAUUUGAAGAAUGGGGCAGCCGUUUUGGUAUACAGUUGAAAUUCAGACCUCGUUUCUAAAGGUGGGGGCGGCAUUCACGUUGUGAGUCUAUACCACUUAACACUAGUUGGGUUGUGAGCUUAGUUACUUACUUAAUUGAUAAUGAAAUUAAUAAAUUACGCUAUAAUUUUGAUCCAUUCUUUUUUUAAAUAGGUUCGUAACGUAAACAACUAUCUGAUUACAAAUUAUCAAACGAUUACAAAAAAAAAUGUUAUCAGUGUUUGAUAUGACACAAUUACGUUUUUAUAGCUAUUAUUCAAAAUAAAGCAAAAAUUAUUAUUAGAUCACUUAUUUUUAGUAACGCUUCAUCGAAAAGAACAGAAUUAGCAGCUCUCACAUGGCGUUUCAAACGUGAAUUCCACUUAAACGUUUUGAAAUGUUUAUAUGUAACGCGCUUUUAUAAAUUCAUUUGCCGGUUUCUUCAGCAAAAAAAAAAAAGUAAUGUGGCUUUUUAGUGCCAAUUAUUGCUACCCGAUUGCGACUGGCGCUAGUUGUAUGUCAGAAAACUGCAGUAAGCGGUAAGCGAACAAUCGCGGUACGUGAUACGAAAUAAUUUGACGUUUUGCGAUCGGUCGCGACGCGUCUGCACAGCAUCUGCAAAAUUGUGGCUGUCGCAAAUUUUUACGUGAUCAGGGGGCCGAACGGUUGUUUUAUUGAUAAUUGGGAACUACGGCUCAUGUCGGUGCUUUAAAACUCAAUUAAACCUUGAAAAUUGAACUGUCUUAAGGAAAUUCAAAUUGUGAUUUUAUAGUACGUAUCUCGUUUACGAUCGUCUAUAAAGUUGCUUCAUGAUGUGAUUCUGUGAUGGCCAGCUAGAGAGCAAUUUGUACUGUAAUAUUUUGAUAUUAUUUCAUAAAGCCUAUGUAGAUUUUUGGGUUUUAUACACGUUUCGUGUGAUUUUUUUACGGCCCUGAUUAAGAAUGGUAUUACGAUUUAAGGUUGAGUUUUUAAAAAAUAAAUGAAUUAUGGUAAUCUACCGAUAAUCUCAACGAUUAAUACCAAAAUCAUGUAUUAAUCAUGACCUAAUGGUUGAGUGUUUUAGUUUUGACAUUUGACAUUUUGACGUCCGGAUUUAAAUAGAUUCGCGUAUAACACGUUCCUUAUUGUUAUUCGUUACCUUACGUGUGUCUAUGUAAUCGAUUCUUUCAAGGUAAUUUUGAUCGAUUUCAAGACUUCCUAUUAAAAUGAGAGUUUAUACGCGUUACAAGACAAUGUUCUACCUCGACCGAUGUCACUACAAUCAUUUUAUUAUUUUAACCUAAAUUUCUGGUACAAUAAACAGCAUUUUCAUUUAAAAAAAUAAUCACAUUUAUUGUUUAGUUGGCCCGUUAUGAAUCGAGACAUCUUUAAUUUCAUUUACUCGAUUAAAAUCUUAAGAAAUGCGUUCGGGAAUUAUGAAGGAUUCGCGUGGGAUCCGCGGUUUAUGAGACGCGCCUUAUUCUCGGAACGAAGUAUUUUCUUUUGAAAGUAGAUUUCUCAAGUGGAUUCCUUGGAUUUAUAAAGUUCAUGAUACGUGCAAACACAAGAUUGGAUCGAGGAUUGUUUGUUUUGUUAAAAAAUCUGUCAAAAAUCUUCGAGAUUACAGUGGCCUAAAAGAUAAGAUGCCCAGUGUACACGCUUCAACCGUUGCGGUUGGGUCGGCGUUCGAAUCCCGCAGGCAGAUGCUCAUUUUUGAAAAACUCGUACUCAAUCGUAUCGUCGUCGUGCUCACGAACGACUUUCACGAUGAAGAAAUAGCAUUGUAUAAAUGAAAAGAUAAACUAUAAGUUUGCGUAAUUACAGCCCGGGUUACUCGGGUUUUUUUUUAUUGCUUUGAUGGACGGACGAGUUAGCGUGGUAUGGACAUGUGAUGCGUAGAGAGAAGAUGCAUGUGACUAGGAGAUGUAUGGAAAUGGUAGUGCAAGGUAGAGGGGGAAGAGAUCGACCGAAGAAAACAUGGAUGGAGUGUGUGAAUAACGAUAUGAGAGAAAGAGAGGAGUGACUGUUGAAAUGACGGCUGAUAGAAGAGAAUGGAAGAGAAAAAUUAGAUGUGCCGACCCCACCUAGUGGGAUAAGGUGGAGAAAAAGAAGAAGAUGGAUGGACGAGUUAAUACCACCAUCCUGGCUAUUAAUGCCGCGAGCCAAUCACGCGGUCCGGUGCAAAGGCGGUGUCAUUAGUUAAUAUAGUAGAAUUUAAAUUUCGACCUCAUGUCUCAUGGGUGGACGCAUCAUAUUGUCUGCGAGUUUCGAUAACCACUUAGCGGAUGCGUCAGCUCUCGUUCAGCCAUUAGCAAUAUAGACGUACAAUUACGAAAUUAACAUAAUCUUCUACGAGCUGAACGACUGCCUAAAUAGUAUCAAGCUGUCGUUGAUCUUAUUUGCACAAUUAGGCGAAUUAAAAAAAAAAGUAGGCCAAAUUUUUUACCUUGCAUUUUGGAAUGAGGAAAUUAUUAGUUACAUUUAAAAAAAUAAUGAAUUUUCGUAUGCUACACAAAGCAGUAUAUAUCGUAGAAGGGUAAUUUAAUUUAUGUGUCCAAAAGACUACAACAGCGAACGGGCCCCAUAGACACAGCCCACUGAGUUUCUCGCCGGAUCUUCUCAGUGGGUCGCGUUUCCGAUCCGGUGGUAGACGCUGCGAAGCACGGCUCUUGCUAGGGUCAGUGUUAGCAAGGCCUCCUGGUUUGAGUCCCGAGAGCUCACGUCAGGGUUACGCUGACAUAUUCUCUCAAGGCUUAGGUAGGAAAGAAAAUAAACGAACGGGACAGGUUUAAUGUUAAAUGCUAUGACUCGUCCGAUGAUGAUAUUAAAUAUAAAUAUUAUAUAAAAUAUUUUGACUCGUCCGAUAUUAUGACUCGAAAACGUCCGAAUUCGAAGUAACUAUCCAACAUACAAUAAUACAUGCACAUGUGACAUCCAAAAAUUUAUCGAAAAAGAAAACUGAUUUCAACUAUAUAAAAAGAGAUACCAUUGUGUCUCACCCACACGUUACUCCGCACACCAUCUAUGGAGGCCAAAUCAAAAUAUUCAUAACUAUAAGAAUUAAUUCAAAAACUACUGGUAAGAUCUAGAUAAAAAUUAGCUUUCAAAUGAACCAGUUUUCAAACAAAAAAACAAAAGAAUUAUCAUAAUUGGUUCACCUAGAAAAAAGUUCUGAAGUAGCUCCGAACAAAAAUACAGUUCAAUUAAUUAUGUGAAUAAAUUAUGAUUUAUUUCGUAGAAUCUAUUCCAUUUGUUAUGGCACAUAUAUUUUAAUAAACUAUAGGCAGCAGGUUGGCUCUGCCCUUGGCAUUGCUGACGUCCAUGGGUGACGGUUACCACUCACCAUCAUCUGGGCCGUAUGCCCGUCUGCCCAAAGGAGCAAUAAAUAAAUAAAAUGUAGAUUACACAUAUAGUCUUUAGAUUGUUUAGCCUCUUAUGGUUGCUAUGGAAUAGGUAGAUAAAACGCUACAUACUAUGUAUUUUAUUUAGUUGAGAAUUUAAAAAUAUCUUGGGGACUUUCAACGUAAAUAGACUAAUUAUAAAGAAAAAAAAUGUUUAUCUGUUACAAGUAAACGGACGGUGGAUUAUAUUUUAUUUGCUUUAAAAUACUUUACGGAGUAUUAGCUGUGAAAGAAAAAAAUAGAUAACCUUAUAUAUUCUGUGCAACAGCAGCAAUAAGGACAUAGAGGACUUUUUGGGUGGAACGCGAGGAGUGAAGUUGUGUGAUUUGUUUUAUUUUAUCUAUUUAGUGUUUCUUCAGGUUUAAAUGUGUAAUAACGGUGGUUUAUAACUGUUUAAUAUCUCUGAAAGUGCACAAAUGUGGGAAAAUGAAACAAAGCCGCUAGACGUAACUUCUUGGGAUCCUCCAAAAAAGUGAAGAAAUCUCAGUAAAUGACCACUAUUUUACUGAGAUUAUAUUUAAUCCCUUAAAAUCUCAUUUGAUUUAAUUUCAUCCCAGUUGAUUAAUUUCUCAAAUUAAUGAUCCUCAUUUCAUUUAUCUCCAUAUUAUCGUUUUUCACAAAAAUAAGAAUAUAAUAUAAAUUAAAAUAAAACAUGACUUAAAGGUCUUAGUUACCAGGUCAUAAAAUCUUUAAAAAAAAGAAAAAGGACAUAAAUUGUUUGUAUGUCGAUGCCGUAUUCCAUAUCACAAUUCCAUUGGUAAAUGAUAAUAGUACAGGCUUCCAAUUAUCGUCAAAUAUUAUUUCGAUGUCGCCAAAGAUUUUGACGAGUAUCGCAUGGAAUUUCGUUAACAAUGAAUGAAGCCUUAACGAUCGGGCGUAGCGUUACAAUUUGUUAAAUUGCCUGCGAUUACUGGAGUUCGGUUCACUGUUAUUAUCGGCAUUCAUAUUUGUAGCGUUUGCCUUUUAUUGGAGUGACUGUGAAUAUUUAGAUUUUUUGAUAAAAAAUAUUUUUGUUCUUGUGCGAUUGAGUUGAUCAGAUGAAAAAGUUUGAACGUUUUUAAUUAAAUUCCCUGUAUCUUGAUUAUGAUUUAGAGAAGCUAUUGUUAAAAUGUUGUCUACGGGCUUUGGUGACAAUUUAACAUCAAAGGGAGUCAGGUUGUAGAAUACUUACUACUUGGCCUCUAAAUGCUGGAACAAUAUUCCUCCACCUAUCCGGCACCAGAGAACGCUAAGGUCCUUUAAAACAAAUUUAAAAGUAUAUCUUUUGAAUAUACAGGAAAAAUUCGAAAAUAUCAAAUAUAAUUACUCCGUACUAUAAUCAGUUGUGCUUUGCAACUGCAAUUUUUAUUUAAUUAAUUUAAUAAUGUCAUUUUGUUGUCCUUUUCAUAACUGUUUUUUUUUAUUUUCUAUUACUCAUGUUCUUUUUAUUUUUUAAUAUAUUUUACAAUGAUGUGUAUUGGUCGGUCUGAUGCUGGUGUGCGCGUCACUCCGCAGGUGCCGGCGGAAGAUCAGCGCCGCAGUACCGAUUGUCUCGAUACUGUUAGGCAUUGCUGAGCCGGUAACCAUUUCCAAGCCUCGUUAUUUUUGUUAUCUUUUUUUAUUUAUUUUUUGUACUUAAUUUGUGUUUGGAAUAAAUGUUUAUUAUUAUUA
Molecule: long non-coding RNA, 8930 nt
Organism: Bombyx mori (domestic silkworm)
Lineage: Eukaryota; Metazoa; Arthropoda; Insecta; Lepidoptera; Bombycidae
Exons: 5
Source: RefSeq, a predicted model, not a curated record